CCUACGUGCGGCAGCAGUGGGGAAUAUUGCACAAUGGGGGAAACCCUGAUGCAGCGACGCCGCGUGAGUGAAGAAGUAAUUCGUUAUGUAAAGCUCUAUCAGCAGGGAAGAAAAUGACGGUACCUGAGUAAGAAGCCCCGGCUAACUACGUGCCAGCAGCCGCGGUAAUACGUAGGGGGCAAGCGUUAUCCGGAUUUACUGGGUGUAAAGGGGGCGUAGACGGCAGUGCAAGUCUGGAGUGAAAGGGGGGGGCUCAACCCCCGGACUGCUCUGGAAACUGUACGGCUGGAGUGCAGGAGAGGUAAGUGGAAUUCCUAGUGUAGCGGUGAAAUGCGUAGAUAUUAGGAGGAACACCAGUGGCGAAGGCGGCUUACUGGACUGUAACUGACGUUGAGGCUCGAAAGCGUGGGGAGCAAACAGGAUUAGAUACCCCUGUAGUC
This 440-nucleotide ribosomal RNA is filed under the name uncultured bacterium. RNAcentral's name for it is "partial 16S ribosomal RNA". It matches the Rfam family "Bacterial small subunit ribosomal RNA", at positions 338 to 795 of the family's 1533-position model. The record is from RNAcentral.